GCCCCUGUAACUCAGUGGAUAGAGUGACUGCCUUCUAAGCAGUGAGUCGGGGGUUCGAUCCCCUCCAGGGGCG
RNAcentral lists this transfer RNA (73 nucleotides) under Chloroflexota bacterium. RNAcentral's name for it is "Chloroflexi bacterium (hot springs metagenome) tRNA-Arg". It matches the Rfam family "tRNA". Rfam says of the family: Transfer RNA (tRNA) molecules are approximately 80 nucleotides in length. Their secondary structure includes four short double-helical elements and three loops (D, anti-codon, and T loops). Further hydrogen bonds mediate the characteristic L-shaped molecular structure. tRNAs have two regions of fundamental functional importance: the anti-codon, which is responsible for specific mRNA codon recognition, and the 3' end, to which the tRNAs corresponding amino acid is attached (by aminoacyl-tRNA synthetases). tRNAs cope with the degeneracy of the genetic code in two manners: having more than one tRNA (with a specific anti-codon) for a particular amino acid; and 'wobble' base-pairing, i.e. permitting non-standard base-pairing at the 3rd anti-codon position. The record is from RNAcentral. Lineage: Bacteria; Bacillati; Chloroflexota.